GCUGGGCGUGGUGGCGCAAGCCUGUAGUCCCAGCUACUCAGGAGGCUGAGGCAGGAGAAUUGCUUGAACCUGGGAGGCAGAGGUUGCAGUGAGCUGAGAUUGUGCCACUGCACUCUAGCCUGGGUGACAGAGUGAGACUCUGUCUCAA
This 148-nucleotide small RNA is filed under the name Macaca mulatta (Rhesus monkey). RNAcentral describes it as "Metazoan signal recognition particle RNA (ENSMMUG00000055617.1)". Lineage: Eukaryota; Metazoa; Chordata; Mammalia; Primates; Cercopithecidae. The record is from Rfam by way of RNAcentral.